Long non-coding RNA from Oncorhynchus mykiss (rainbow trout), 1791 nucleotides. RefSeq lists it as uncharacterized. NCBI's taxonomy places the organism in Eukaryota, Metazoa, Chordata, Actinopteri, Salmoniformes, Salmonidae. The record is from RefSeq and is a predicted model, not a curated record.
UCUUCUGCUGAUUUUGUACGUUUGCCCACUGACAAAGAAAUGACCAGUCUAUAAUUUUAAUGGUAGGUUUAUUUGAACAGUGAGAGACAGAAUAACAAAAAAAUCCAGAAAAAUGCAUUUCACGACAAUUUGCCCUCACAAACUAGAUUAUUGAUUCUGUCUGCGGAGCUUUCCAGUGAGGGUCUGCGAGGAAAAACCAGUGGCACAUUUUAUGAAGGGUGAGGGAAAUUCCCGUCUGACCAUAAGACGACGAGGACCUGCCCAGACCCUUAAUGUGAGCUGCCCAGGACGAGACACAUCAUCUGCAAACAAUUGAGGAACACGGCGACUGAAUUUUCAAAGUCUGUUACAGAUGUGGUGAAGGCUUCAGGCAUGAUGCCUUUGCUUGAUGCUCCAGUUGGAGAUGCUGAUACUGAAUCAAGCUUUCAGGGGAGGAUGGGACUGACUGAGGAUGACCCAUGGUAUGCUGUGGGUGAGGUAGUAGAAUAAAUAUUACACCACCACAGUUCCUUCUUUUACAUUUUUGUUAUAUGUUAAGUUCUUUCCAGUAUGUUUGUUCUCUCUGUUGUGAAGGUUUGGAGUCCCUGGGUGGCAUGGUGCCCACCUGGUGCAGGAUAAGAGUAGCUGAGAGGACCAGAUGGUUUAUAAUAAUGCUUUGCUCUGCUUUACUCUGUUUUCCAUGACCAAAGUUUUAUCCUACAUCUUACAUGUCAAUAAACAAUAAAGUUGUAUCCUGUUUUUGUCAAAAGGGGGAGACAAAAGCAUAUAUCACUUGUUGAUUUUUUUUUCUAUUUUUCUGUAAAAAAAAAAUAAAAAAUUAAGUUAAUAAACUUUUUAUUAUUUUCAUGAAAUGCUAUUAACAUAUUACUAUGUUGGGACCGCUGACAAAAAAGGCUAAUGAGUGACACCCUAGCGGGUGUCAAAAGGGGGACUUAAAUUUAACACUAUUUUCUUUUAUUCUGUUUUUAAAUGAGCUGUUGUUCUCUUUUGACAUGAGGGUUUUAAGUUCUUAGGUGGCUGGUAGCCAAUCUAGUACAUAGUGGGAUCGAAUGGAGGACAUGAAGGUAUUUUAAACUUUGUAACUGUUAUAUGAUUCAUUGCUGAAUUUUUAUUCACACCCUUUGGGGUGUGAAAAAGGGGGAUUGUGGGAUUCUGUGUUUUACAUUAUAGCCAUUACCAUAUAUAUGAUUAAAUAUUAUCUUAUGUUGGUUGUGUGAGGUAUCUGCAUUUGUGCACUGGAGCAUCAUUAUGAGAUUAAACAACUGCUUGUUUAACAUGAGUAACAUGGUGUGACCUGCAUGUUGCAAAACUGUAGAUAACAGCCCAGCAGAUGCUUUGUCCUUGUGUUUGUAUGUAACAAUAUUGAGCACAUGGUGUGACUUGCUGUAUCUUACAAAGUUGUGAUAGGGAGGGGUGGUCAUCGAGGUUUAACUGAGAUGGAAAAAUACUGAACAACACAAUAGCAGGAACUGAGCAACUGUUAUAACUAGGCUGCGAUACCAGAACAGUAAGAAUCUAUACAUCGACGGAGGGAGGACUCCAAGAAGCUCCAAGAGGCGGGGACCCGGCUGAGUGCCUGCGAUAGGCUGAGCAAGUUUAAUCCACGCCCAGCCUCUACUGUGAUAGGCCAACAGACGGGUUGGACCGAUGUCCAUCACAGUAUAAGAACACUGUUUACAUACAUCCUGUCAGUUCUCUGUUCUGCCCUGCGUGGUAUUACAGUGAGCCCUUAUAUACGAAAGUUUCAUUUGCCAUUUAUUACUUCGCUAAUAAAAAAUACAUAGUAUACAA